Molecule: long non-coding RNA, 43529 nt
Filed under: Hordeum vulgare
Lineage: Eukaryota; Viridiplantae; Streptophyta; Magnoliopsida; Poales; Poaceae
Description: long non-coding RNA (HVUL_LNC016698)
Source: RNAcentral
UCUUCCAAAGUCUACACUUUGUAUUCAUACAUGGAUCCUCUCUCGGAUUUCAUGGCUUCCAGCCAUUUGUCGGAAUCCGGGCCCACCAUUGCUUUCUCCAUAACUCGUAGGUUCACUGUUGCUCAACAACAUGACCUCCAAGACAGGGUUACCGUACCACUCUGCAGUAGUACGCGACCUUGUCAACCUAUGAGGCUUGUAGUAACUUGAUCCGAUGCUCGAUGAUCACCAUCAUCAGCUUUCACUUCAAUUGGUGUAGGCGCCACAGGAACAACUUCCUGCGCCCUGCUACACACUGGUCGAAGUGAUGGUUCAAUAACCUCAUCAAGUUCUACCACCCUCCCACUCAAUUAUUUCGAGAGAAACCUUUCCUCGAGAAAGGAUCCGUUUCUAGAAACAAAUACUUUGCUUUUGGAUCUGAGAUAGGAGAUGUACCCAACUGUUUUGGAUAUCCUAUGAAGAUGGAUUUAUCCGCUUUGGGUUCGAGCUUAUCAGACUGAAACUUUUUCACAUAAGUGUCGAAGCCCCAAACUUUCAAGAAACGACAGUUUAGAUUUCUCUAAACCUCAGUCUAUACUGUGUCAUCUCAACGGAAAUACGCGGUGCCCUAUUUAAAGUGAAUGUGGUUCUCUAAUGCAUAACCCAUAAAUGAUAGUGGUAAUUCGAUAAGAGACAUCAUAGCAUGCACCAUACCAAAUAGUGCGUGGCUAUGACGUUCAGACACAUCAUCACACUAUGAUGUUCCAGGUGGCAUGAACCGCGAAAUAAUUUCCACAUUGUCUUAACUGCGUACCAAAACUUGUAACUGAGAUAUUCAUUUCUAUGAUCAUAUCGUAGACAGUUUAUCCUCUUGUUACGACGAACUUCACUCCGAAACAGAAUUGAACUUUUCAAUAUUUCAGACUUGUGAUUCAUUAAGUAAAUACUCUUGUAUCUGCUCAAAUCGUCAUUGAAGUAAGAACAUAAUGAUAUCCACUGCGUGCCUCAGCACCCAUUGGACUACAUACAUCAAAAUGUAUCACUUCCAACAAGUUACUAUCUUGUUUCAUCUCAAUGAAAACAAGGCCUUGCUCAUGUGGUAUGAUUUGCAUGUCACUAGUGAUUCAAAAACAAGUGAGUAUAAAUAUCCAUCAGCAUGGAGCCUCUUCAUGAAAUUUAUACCAACAUGACUCAAGCGGCAGUGCCACAAGUAAGUGGUACUAUCAUCAUUACCUCGUAUCUUUUGGCACCAAUAUCAUGAACAUGUGUAACACUACGAUCGAGAUUCAAUAAACCAUUGAAGGUGAUUAUUCAAGCAAAUAGAGUAACCAUUAUUCUCUUUAAAUGAAUAAUCGUAUUGCAAUAAACACGAUCCAAUCAUGUUCAUGCCUAACGCAAGCACCAAAUAACAAUUAUUUAGGUUUAACACCAAUCCCGAUGGUAGAGGGAGCAUGCGACGUUUUGAUCAUAUCAAUCUUGGAAACACUUCCAACACGUAUCAUCACCUCGCCUUUAGCUAGUCUCCGUUUAUGCCGUAGCUAUCAUUUCGUGUUACUAAUCACUUAGCAACCGAACCGGUAUCCAAUACCCUCAUGCUACUAGGAGUACUACUAAAGUAUACAUCAUGUAUAUCAAAUAUACUUCUUUCGACUUUUGCCAGCCUUCUUAUCUACCAAGUAUCUAGAGUUGCUCUGCCUCAGUGAUUGUUCCCCUCAUUACAGAAGCACUUAGUCUCAGGUUUGGGUUUAAUCUUGGGUCUCUUCAUUAGUGCAGCAACUGUUUUUCCAUUUCACGAAGUAUCCCUUCUAUCCCUUGCCUUUCUUGAAACUUAGUGGUUUUACAAACCAUCAACUAUUGAUGCUCCUUGAUUUCUACUUUCGCAGUGUCAAACAUCGCGAAUCGCUCAAGGAUCAUUGUAUCUAUCCUUGAUAUGUUAUAGUUCAUCACGAAGCUCUCACAGCUUGGUGGCAGUGACUUUGGAGAACUAUCACUAUCUCAUCUUGAAGAUUAACUCCGACUUGAUUCAAGCGAUUGUCAAACUCAGACAAUCUGAGCACACGCUCAACGAUUGAGCUUUUCUCCUUUACUUUGUGGACAAUAAAUCUUGUUGGAGGUCUCGUACCUCUUAACAAGGGCACAAGCAUGAAAUCAAAUUUCAUCUCUUUAGAACAUCACUUAUGUUCCGUGACAUUUCAAAACGUCUUCGGCGCCUUGCUUCUAAGCCAUUAAGUAUUUUGCACUGAACUAUCGUGUAGUCAUCAGAAACGUGUAUGUCGGGUGUUCACAACAUCUACAGACGACGCUCGAGGUGCAGCACACCGAGUGGUGCAUUAAGGACAUAAGCCUUCUGCGCAGCAACGAGGACAAUCCUCGGUUUUACAAACUCAGUCUGCAAAGUUUGCUACUAUCAACUUUCAACUAAAUUUUCUCUAGGAGCAUAUAAAACAGUAGAGCUAUAGCGCAAGCUACAUCGUAAUUCGCAAAGACCAUUAGAAUAUGUUCUUGACAAUUAGUUCAAUUAAUCAUAUUACUUAAGAACUCCCACUCAAAAAGUACAUCUGUCUAGUCAUUUGAGUGGUACAUGAUCCAAAUCCACUAUCUCAAGUUCGAUCAUCACGUGAGUCGAGAAUAGUUUCAGUGGUAAGCAUCUCUAUGCUAAUCAUAUCAACUAUAUGAUUCAUGCUCGACCUUUUGGUCUCAUGUGUUCCGAGGCCAUGUCUGCACAUGCUAGGCUCGUCAAGCUUAACCCGAGUGUUCCGCGUGUGCAACUGUUUUGCACCCGUUGUAUGUGAACGUUGAGUCUAUCACACCCGAUCAUCACGUGGUGUCUCGAAACGAAGAACUGUCGCAACGAUGCAUAGUCAGGGAGAACACAAUUUCGUCUUGAAAUUUUAGUGAGAGAUCACCUCAUAAUUCUACCGUCGUUCUAAGCAAGAUAAGGUGCAAAAAGGAUUAACAUCACAUGCAAUUUAUAAGUGACAUGAUAUGGCCAUCAUCACGUGCUUCUUGAUCUCCAUCACCAAAGCACUGGCACGAUCUUCUUGUCACCGGCGUCACACCAUGAUCUCCAUCAACGUGUCGCCAUCGGGGUUGUCGUGCUACUCAUGCUAUUACUACUAAAGCUACGUCCUAGCAAUGUAGUAAACGCAUCUGCAAGCACAAACGUUAGUUUAAAGACAACCCUAUGGCUCCUGCCGGUUGCCGUACCAUCGACGUGCAAGUCGAUAUUAACUAUUACAACAUGAUCAUCUCAUACAUCCAAUAUAUCACAUCACAUCGUUGGCCAUAUCACAUCACAAGCAUACCCUGCAAAAACAAGUUAGACGUCCUCUAAUUGUUGUUGCAUGUUUUACGUGGUGACCAUGGGUAUCUAGUAGGAUCGCAUCUUACUUACGCAAACACCACCACGAAGAUAUAUGAAUUGCUAUUUAACCUCAUCCAAGGACUUCCUCGGUCAAAUUUGAUUCAACUAAAGUUGGAGAAACCGACACUCGCCGGUCAUCUUUGAGCAACGGAGUUACUCGUAGCGAUGAAACCAGUCUCUCGUAAGCGUACGAGUAAUGUCGGUCCGAGCCGCUUCGAUCCAACAAUACCGCGGAAUCAAGAAAAGACUAAGGAGGGCAGCAAAAUGCACAUCACCACCCACAAAAACUUUUGUGUUCUACUCGAGAAGACAUCUACGCAUGAACCUAGCUCAUGAUGCCACUGUUGGGGAACGUCGCAUGAGAAACAAAAAAUUUCCUACGCGCACGAAGACCUAUCAUGGUGAUGUCCAUCUACGAGAGAGGAUUUCCGAUCUACGUACCCUUGUAGAUCGCACAGCAGAAGCGUUAGUGAACACGGUUGAUGUAGUGGAACGUCCUCACGUCCCUCGAUCCGCCCCGCGAACCGUCCCAUGAACCGUCCCGCGAUCCGUCCCACGAUCUAGUGCCGAACGGACGGCACCUCCGCGUUCAGCACACGUACAGCUCGACGAUGAUCUCGGCCUUCUUGAUCCAGCAAGAGAGACGGAGAGGUAGAUAAUUUCUCCGGCAGCGUGACGGCGCUCCGGAGGUUGGUGGUGAUCCGAUCUCGGCAGGGCUCCGCCCGAGCUCCGCAGAAACGCGAUCUAGAGGAAAAACCGUGGAGGUAUGUGGUCGGGCUGCCGUGGAAAAGUUGUCUCAAAUCAGCUCUAAUACCUCUGUAUAUAUAGGUGGGAGGGGAGGGACCUUGCCUUGAGGCUCAAGGAGCCCCAAGGGGGUCGGCCGAGCCAAAGAGGGGAAGUCCUCCCCUUCCAAACCGAAUCCAACUAGGUUUGGAAGGUGGAGUCCUUCUCUCCUUUCCCACCUCCCCUUUUUUUUCUCUUUGAUUUCUUUUUCUUUGGCGCAUAGGGCCUACUUGGGCUGUCCCACCAGCCCACCAAGGGCUGGUGCGCCACCCCCAAGGCCUAUGGGCUUCCCCGGGGUGGGUUGCCCCCCCCCCCGGUGAACACUCGAAACCCAUUCGUCAUUCCCGGUAACUCCAAAAACCUUCCGGUAAUCAAAUGAGGUCAUCCUAUAUAUCAAUAUUCGUUUCCGGACCAUUCCGGAAACCCUCGUGACGUCCGUGAUCUCAUCCGGGACUCUGAACAACAUUCAGUAACCAACCAUAUAACUCAAAUACGCAUAAAACAACGUCGAACCUUAAGUGUGCAGACCCUGCGGGUUCGAGAACUAUGCAGACAUGACCCGAGUGACUCCUCGAUCAAUAUCCAAUAGCGGGACCUGGAUGCCCAUAUUGGAUCCCACAUAUUCUACGAAGAUCUUAUCGUUUGAACCUCAGUGCCAAGGAUUCAUAUAAUCUCGUAUGUCAUUCCCUUUGUCCUUCGGUAUGUUACUUGCCCGAGAUUCGAUCAUCAUUAUCCGCAUACCUAUUUCAAUCUCGUUUACCGGCAAGUCUCUUUACUCAUUCCGUAAUACAAGAUCCCGCAACUUACACUAAGUCACAUUGCUUGCAAGGCUUGUGUGUGAUGUUGUAUUACCGAGUGGGCCCCGAGAUACCUCUCCGUCACACGGAGUGACAAAUCCCAGUCUCGAUCCAUACUAACUCAACGAACACCUUCGGAUAUACCUGUAGAGCAUCUUUAUAGUCACCCAGUUACGUUGCGACGUUUGAUACACACAAAGCAUUCCUCCAGUGUCGGUGAGUUAUAUGAUCUCAUGGUCAUAGGAACAAAUACUUGACACGCAGAAAACAGUAGCAACAAAAUGACACGAUCAACAUGCUACGUCUAUUAGUUUGGGUCUAGUCCAUCACGUGAUUCUCCUAAUGACGUGAUCCAGUUAUCAAGCAACAACACCUUGUACAUAAUCAGAAGACCCUGACUAUCUUUGAUCAACUGGCUACUCAACUAGAGGCUUACUAGGGACAGUGUUUUGUCUAUGUAUCCACACAUGCACUGUGUUUCCAAUCAAUACAAUUAUAGCAUGGAUAAUAAACGAUUAUCAUGAACAAAGAAAUAUAAUAAUAACUAAUUUAUUAUUGCCUCUAGGGCAUAUUUCCAACAGGUGUGCCUCCCCACUCAUCCCAAUGCGCAGGGGAGAGGGAAGGGGGGCAAACCCUAAGCCAGGUGGGCCUAAGGCCCACCAGGGGUGCGCACCACCCCUCCUCCCUCCCGUGGCCGCCGCCCCCUCUCCCAUCUAGGGCUGCCGCACCCCUUGGGGGUGGGAACCCUAAGGGCUGCGCCCCCUCCCCCUCCCCCUAUAUAUAGUUGAGGUUUCGGGGCUGUUUUGCACACAGUUUUCUCGCUCUCUCGGCGCAGCCCUGCCCUUCCUCCUCCUCCUCUCUGCCGGUGCUUGGCGAAGCCCUGCCGGGAGACCUCGUCUCUCCAUCGACACCAUGCCGUCGUGUUGCUGGAGUUCUUCCCCAACCUCUCCCUCCUCCUUGCUGGAUCAAGGCGUGGGAGACGUCACCGGGUUGCACGUGUGUUGAACGCGAAGGUGCCGUAGUUCGGCACUAGAUCGGAAUCACACCGCGAUCUGAAUCGCUGCGAGUACGACUCCAUCAACCGCGUUCUAGUAACGCUUCCGCUUAGCGAUCUUCAAAGGUAUGAAGAUGCUCUUACCCCUCUCUCGUUGCUGGUCUCUCCAUGGGAAGAUCUGAAUAUGGCAUAGGAAAAUUUUGAAUUUAUGCUACGUUACCCAACAGUGGCAUCCGAGCCAGGUUUUCUAUGUGUAGAUUCUAUGCACGAGUAGAACACAAAAGUUGUGGGCGAUGAUUUUUCAAUUUGCUUGCCGCUACUAGUCUUAUUGUUUUCCGGCGGUAUUGUGGGAUGAAGCGGCCUGGACCGACUUUACACAUACGCUUACGUGAGACUGGUUCCACCGACAGACAUGCACACCGUGCAUAAAGGUGGCUAGCGGGUGUUUGUUUCUCCUACUCUAGUCGGAUUGGAUUUGAUGAAAAGGGUCCUUAUGAAGGGUAAAUAGCUUUGGCAUAUCAUCGUUGUGGCUGUCACGUAGGUAAGAAGGCGUUCUUGCUAGAAACCCAAAUCAGCCACGUAAAACUUGCAACAACAAUUAGAGGACGUCUAACUUGUUUUUGCAGGGUUUGACAUGUGAUGUGAUAUGGCCAAAGUUGUGAUGUUGCAUGUAUGAUGUAUGAGAUGAUCAUGUUAUUGUAAUAGGUUUCACGACUUGCAUGUCGAUGAGUAUGACAACCGGCAGGAGCCAUAGGAGUUGUCUUAAUUUAUUGUAUGAGAUGCAACGCCAUGUGCUUACUACUUUUACUUCAUUGCUAACGGUUAGCUAUAGUAGUAGUGAUAGUAGUAGUUGGCGUGACGACUUCACGGAGACACGAUGAUGGAGAUCAUGAUGAUGGAGAUCAUGGUGUCACGCCGGUGACGAUGAUGAUCAUGCGAUGCCUGAAGAUGGAGAUCGAAAGGGCAAAGAUGAUAAUGGCCAUAUCAUGUCACUAUAUGAUUGCAUUGUGAUGUUUAUCAUGUUUUUCAUCUUAUUGCUUAGAACGACGGUAGCAUAAUAAGAUGAUCCCUCUUAAAAUUUCGAGAACUUAUUUCCCUAAGUGUGCACCGUUGCGAAGGUUCAUUGUCUCGAAGCACCACGUGAUGAUCGGGUGUGAUAGAUUCUAACGUUCGCAUACAACGGGUGUAAACCAGAUUUACACACGCGAAACACCUAGGUUGACUCGACGAGCUUAGCAUGUAAAGACAUGAUCUCGAAUACAAGAGACCAAAAGGUCGAAGAUGAGUCGUAUGGUUGAAUGCGAUCAGCAUGAAGUUGCUCACCAUGGUGACUAGUCCGUCUCACGUGAUGAUCGGACACGGGUUAGUCAACAUGGAUCAUGUAUCACAUAGAUGACUAAAGGGAUAUCGAUUUAAGUGGGAGUUCAUACUUAAUUUGAUUAAAUGAACUCAAUUUUCAUGAACGUGGUCUAAAAGUUGUCUUUAUAAAUAUUGUAGAUGGCCAACGUCAACCUCAAUUUCAAUGCAUUCCUAGAGAAAAACAAGCUGAAAGAUGAUGGUAGCAACUAUGCGGACUGGGUUCGCAACUUGAAGCUCAUCCUUGAAGCACCUAAAAAGUCUUAUGUCCUUGAUGCGCCGCUAGGUGACCCUCCCGCUCCCGCAGCAGCCCAGGACAUUCUGAACGUCUGGCAAACGCGGAGUGACGACUACUCUCUGGUUAGGUGUGGCAUGUUAUACAAUUUAGAAACGGGGCUCCAAAGGCGUUUUGAGCAACACGGUGCAUAUGAGAUGUUCCAAGAGCUGAAGCUAGUUUUUCAAUCUCAUGCCCAUGUCGAGAGAUAUGAAGUCUCCGACAAGUUCUUUAGCUGUAAGAUGGAGGACAACAGUUCUGUCAAUGAGCACAUACUCAAAAUGUCUGGGUUACACGGUCGUAUGACUUCACUUGGAGUCGAACUUCCGGAUGAUGCUAUAAUUGAAAAAAUCCUCAUGUCUCUCCCACCAAGCUACAAAGGCUUUGUGCGUAACUACAACAUGCAAGGGAUGGAGAAGACCAUUCCCGAGUUGUACUCGAUGCUCAAGUCUGCAGAAGUAGAAAUCAAGAAAGCGCAUCAAGUGUUGAUGGUCAACAAGACCACUAGUUGCGAAAAGGGCAAGGGUAAGAAGAACUUCAAGAAAGACGGCAAAGUUGUUGCCGCGCCCGGUAAGCCAGAUGUCGGGAAGAAGAAAAAGAAUGGACCCAAGCCUGAGACAGAGUGCUUCUAUUGCAAGGGAAAAGGUCACUGGAAGCGGAACUGCCCCAAAUACUUAGCGGACAAGAAGGCCGGCAACGUUAAAGGUAUAUGUGAUAUACAUGUUAUUGAUGUGUACCUUACCAGCGCUCAUAGUAGCUCCUGGGUAUUUGAUACCGGUGCUGUUGCUCACAUUUGCAACUCAAAGCAGGAACUACAGAAUAAGCGGAGACUGGCCAAGGACGAGGUGACGAUGCGCGUCAGGAAUGGUUCCAAGGUCGAUGUGAUCGCCGUUGGCAUGCUACCUCUACAUCUACCGUCGGGAUUAGUUUUAAACCUUAAUAAUUGUUAUUUAGUACCAGCUUUAAGCAUGAACAUUGUAUCGGGGUCUUGCUUGAUGCGAGACGACUACUCAUUUAAGUCAGAGAAUAAUGGUUGUUCUAUUUAUAUGAGUGAUAUGUUUUAUGGUCAUGCUCCGCUGGUGAAUGGUUUAUUCUUGAUGAAUCUCGAUCGUGAUGUUACGCAUAUUCAUAGUGUGAGUACCAAAAGAUGUAAAGUUGAUAAUGAUAGUCCCACAUACUUGUGGCACUGCCGCCUUGGUCAUAUCGGCGUUAAGCGCAUGAAGAAGCUCCAUACUGAUGGACUAUUAGAGUCUCUUGACUUUGAAUCAUUUGACACAUGCGAACCGUGCCUCAUGGGAAAGAUGACUAAGACUCCACUCUCAGGAAUAAUGGAGAGAGCAACCGACUUAUUGGAAAUAAUACAUACUGAUGUGUGUGGUCCAAUGAACGUUGAAGCUCGCGGUGGCUAUUGUUAUGUUCUCACUCUCACCGAUGAUUUGAGUAGGUAUGGGUAUAUCUACUUGAUGAAGCACAAAUCUGAGACGUUUGAAAAGUUCAAGGAAUUUCAGAGUGAGGUUGAGAAUCAACGUGACAGAAAAAUUAAAUGUCUACGAUCUGAUCGUGGAGGAGAAUAUUUGAGUCACGAGUUUGGCACACACCUAAGGAAGUGUGGAAUCGUUUCACAAGUGACGCCGCCUGGCACACCGCAACGCAACAGAGUAUCUGAACGUCGUAAUCGCACUUUAUUAGAUAUGGUACGAUCUAUGAUGUCUCUUACCGACUUACCGCUAUCAUUUUGGGGAUACACAUUAGAAACUGCAGCAUUAACUUUAAAUAGGGCACCGUCUAAAUCCGUUGAGACGAUACCGUAUGAACUAUGGUUUGGCAAGAAACCUAAGUUGUCGUUUCUUAAAGUUUGGGGCUGCGAUGCUUAUGUGAAGAAACUUCAACCAGAAAAGCUCGAACCCAAAGCGGAAAAAUGCGUAUUCAUAGGAUACCCUAAGGAAACUAUUGGGUAUACCUUCUAUCUUAGAUCCGAAGGUAAAACCUUUGUUGCCAAGAACGGAUCCUUUCUAGAGAAAGAGUUUCUCUCGAAAGAAAUAAGUGGGAGGAAGGUAGAACUUGAUGAGGUAAUUACACCCCCUCUCGAACAGGAUAGUAGCGCAGCGCGGGAAAUUGUUCCUGUGGCGCCUACACCAACUGAAGAGGAAGUUAAUGAUGAUGAUCAUGAAGCUUCGGAUCAAGUUACUACUGAACCGUGAAGGUCCACAAGGGCACGCUCCGCACCAGAGUGGUACGGCAACCCUGUGAUGGAAAUCAUGUUGUUAGACAACGGUGAACCUUCGAACUAUGAAGAAGCGAUGGAGGGCCCGGUUUCCAACAAAUGGCUUGAAGCUAUGAAAUCCGAGAUAGGAUCCAUGUAUGAGAACAAAGUAUGGACUUUGGUGGAGUUGCCCAAUGACCGGCGAGCCAUAGAAAAUAAAUGGAUCUUCAAGAAGAAGACUGAUGCAAACGGUAAUGUAACCGUUUAUAAAGCCCGACUUGUCGCAAAGGGUUUUCGACAAAUUCAAGGAGUUGACUACGAAGAGACUUUCUCUCCCGUAGCAAAGCUGAAAUCAGUCUGAAUCAUGUUAGCAAUUGCCUCCUUUCAUGAUUAUGAAAUUUGGCAAAUGGACGUCAAAACAGCGUUCCUUAACGGGAACCUUAAGGAAGAGUUGUAUAUGAUGCAACCAGAAGGUUUUGUCGACCCUAAGGGUGCUAACAAAGUGUGCAAGCUCCAGCGCUCCAUCUAUGGGCUGGUGCAAGCAUCUCGGAGUUGGAACAUUCGCUUUAAUGAGGUGAUUAAAGUGUUUGGGUUCAUACAGGUUUACGGAGAAGCUUGUCUGUACAAGAAAGUGAGUGGGAGCUCUGUAGCUUUCCUCAUACUGUAUGUGGAUGACAUAUUAUUGACGGGGAACAAUACAGAAAUGUUGGAGAGCAUAAAGGCCUAUUUGAACAAGAGUUUUUCAACGAAGGACCUUGGAGAAGCUGCAUACAUAUUAGGUAUCAAGAUCUAUAGAGAUAGAUCGAGACGCCUCAUAGGUCUUUCGCAAAGUACAUAACUUGACAAGAUAUUGCAUAAGUUCAAUAUGGAAAACUCAAACAAAGGGUUCUUGCCAGUUUUACAAGGUAUGAGAUUGAGUAAGACUCAGUCGCCGACCACGGCAGCAAAUAGAGAGAAGAUGAGUUAUGUCCCCUACGCUUCAGCCGUAGGCUCUCUAAUGUAUGCCAUGUUGUGUACCAGACCUGAUAUAAACCUUGCCAUAAGUUUGGUAGGGAGGUACCAAAGUGAUCCCGGUAUGGAACACUGGACAGCGGUCAAGAAUAUCCUUAAGUACCUGAAAAGUACUAAGGAAAUGUUUCUCGUUUAUGGAGGUGACGAAGAGCUCGUCGUAAAGGGUUACGUCGACGCUAGCUUCGACAUAGAUCUGGAUGACUCUAAGUCACAGACCGGAUACGUAUAUGUGUUGAAUGGUGGGGCAGUGAGCUGGUGCAGCAGCAAGCAAGAAGUCGUGGCAGCAUCUACAUGUGAAGCGGAGUACAUAGCUGCUUCAGAAGCGGCUCAUGAAGGAAUUUGGAUGAAGGAGCUCAUCACCAACCUUGGAGUGGUUCCAAGCGCGUCGGGUCCAAUGACACUCUUCUGUGAUAACACUGGGGCCAUUGCCAUAGCCAAGGAGCCCAGGUUUCACCGGAAGAUGAAGCACAUCAAACGCCGCUACAACUCCAUCCAGGACCAUGUCCAGAGUGGAGUGAUAGAUAUUUGUAAAGUACACACGGGUCUGAAUGUUGCAGACCCGUUGACUAAACCUCUUCCACGAGCAAAAGAUGAUCAACAACAUAAUGCUAUGGGUGUUCGAUACAUCACAAUGUAACUAGAUUAUUGACUCUAGUGCAAGUGGGAGACUGUUGGAAAUAUGCACUAGAGGCAAUAAUAAAAUGGUUAUCAUCAUAUUUCCUUGUUCAUGAUAAUAGUCUAUUGUUCAUGCUAUAAUUGUAUUAACAGGAAACAGUAAUACAUGUGUGAAUAAAUAGAUCACAAUGUGUCCCUAGCAAGCCUCUAGUUGGCUAGCUCGUUAGUCAAUAGAUGAUCAUGGGCAUUAGAUGUCAUUGAUAACGAGAUCACAUCAUUGGGAGAAUGAUGUGAUGGACAAGACCCAAUCCUAAGCAUAGCACUAGAUCAUAUUAUUCGUAUGCUAAAGCUUUUCUAAUGUCAAGUGUCUUUUCCUUCGACAGUGAGAUUAUGCAACUCCCGGAUACCGUAGGAGUGCUUUGGGUGUAUCAAACGUCACAACGUAACUGGCUGACUAUAAAGGUGCACUACGGGUAUCUCUGAAAGUGUCUGUUGGGUUGGUACGAAUCGAGAUCGGGAUUUGUCACUCUGUGUGACGGAGAGGUAUCUCUGGGCCCACUCGGUAGAACAUCAUCAUGAGCUCAAUGUGACUAAGGAGUUAGUCACACGAUGACGUGCUAUGGAACGAGUAAAGAGACUUACCGGUAACGAGAUUGAACAAGAUAUUGGUAUACCGACGAUCGAAUCUCGGGCAAGUUCUAUACCGACAGACAAAGGGAAUUGUAUAUGGGAUUAAUUGAAUCCCUGACAUCGUGGUUCAUCCGAUGAGAUCAUCGUGGAGCAAGUGGGAGCCACCAUGGGUAUCCAGACCCCGCUCAUGGUUAUUGACCGGAGAGGUGUCUCUGUCAUGUCUGCGUGUCUCCCGAACCCGUAGGGUCUACACACUUAAGGUUCGGUGACGCUAGGGUUAUAGGGAAUUGUUAUACGAGGUUACCGAAAGUUGUUCGGAGUCUCGGAUGAGAUCCCGGACGUCACGAGGAGCUCCGGAAUGGUCCGGAGGUAAAGAUUGAUAUAUAGGACGGAUGGUUUCGGACACCGGAAGUAUUUCGGGCAUCACCGGUAACGUACCGGGACCACCAGAGGUGGCCCCGGGGGUCCACCGAAGGGGGGCAACGACCCCGUGAGGUAAGAUGGGCCAAGUGGGGGAGGGAACCAGCCCCUAGGUGGGCUGGUGUGCCUCCCCACUCAGCCCAAUGUGCAGGGGAGAGGGAAGGGGGGCAAACCCUAAGCCAGGUGGGCCUAAGGCCCACCAGGGGUGCGCACCACCCCACCUCCCUGCCCUGGCCGCCGCCCCCUCUCCAUCUGGGGCUGCCGCAUCCCUUGGGGGUGGGAACCCUAAGGGCUGCGCCCCCUCCUCCCCCUAUAUAUAGUUGAGGUUUCGGGGCUGUUUUGCACACGGUUUUCUCUCUCUCUCUCGGCGCAGCCCUGCCCUUCCUCCUCCUCCUCUCUGCCGGUGCUUGGCGAAGCCCUGUCGGGAGACCCUCUCUCUCCAUCGACACCAUGCCGUCGUGCUGCUAGAGUUCUUCCCCAACCUCUCCCUCCUCCUUGCUGGAUCAAGGUGCAGGAGACGUCACCGGGCUGCACGUGUGUUGAACGCCGAGGUGUCGUAGUUCGGCACUAGAUCGAAAUCACACCGCAAUCUGAAUCGCUGCGAGUACGACUCCAUCAACCGCGUUCUAGUAACGCUUCCGCUUAGCGAUCUUCAAAGGUAUGAAGAUGCUCUUACCCCUCUCUCGUUGCUGGUUUCUCCAUAGGAAGAUCUGAAUAUGGCGUAGGAAAAUUUUGAAUUUAUGCUACGUUACCCAACACUUCUUCUUCUCCUUAGGGUGACUGGGUGCAUCUGAAUUAAUUCCUUGAGAAAAUUGAUCAAUUCUCUUAGGAUGACCUUUAGAAUACAAAGUUUCCUGAGUCAUUUUGCCUCCUCUAGUAAUGACUCUGACAAAGUUGUCAUUUAAUUCAUUGAGCAGGUCAUUCUAAGCUUGAAGUACUUGUUCUACCUGAGUAGUAAUCAUAGAGGCAUGUUUACUGAGAAGCUUCAGAUCAUUGACAUUUCUGUCUACGCAAGCACUUAAAUGACUAAGCAUACGAGUACUUUGUUCCAAAUGUUUGCUAACAUAAUCAUUGAAACUCUGUUGUUUGGCAACAAAGUUGCCAAAUAAAUCAAAGCAUAGGCUAGCAGGUUUAUCAAAAGGAAUAUCACUCUCAUCAAACCUACGCAGAGAAUUUACUUCCACUACCUGUAUCGGGUUAUCGAGACCAUGGAUCUCUUCGAUAGGUGGUAGAUAUUUGACAUCUUCAUAUCUAAUGCCUUUCUCUUGCAUAGAUUUCUUGGCUUCUUGCAUAUCUUCGGGACUGAGGAAUAGAAUACCUCUUUUCUUCGGAGUUGGCUUAGGAGGUGGUUCGGGAAUAGUCCAAGCAUUAUCGUUGAUCAAGAUGUUAUUCAGUAGAGUCUCAGCUUGUUCUACAGUUUGUUCCCUAAAAACACAACCAGCACAACUAUCUAGGUGGUUUCUAGAAGCAUCGGUAAGUCCGUUAUAGAAUAUAUCAAGUAUCUCGUUCUUCUUAAGAGGGUGAUAAGGCAAAGCAUUGUGUAGCUGGACGAGCCUCCCCCAAGCUUGUGGGAGACUCUCUUCUUUGACUUGAGCAAAGUUGUAUAUUUCCUGCAAGGCAGCUUGCAUCUUAUGGGCAGGGAAAUAUUUCUCACAGAAGUAAUAGACCAUAUCAUGGGGACUACUCACACAUCCAGGAGCAAGAGAAGUGAACCAGGCUUUAGCGUCAUCCUUUAGAGAGAAAGGAAACAUCUUAAGGAUAUAGUAGUGGCGGAUCUUCUCCUCACUCGUGAAAAGGGUGCCUAUAUCGUGUAGUUUGGUAAGAUGGGCUGCGACCGUCUCAGACUCAUAACCGUGAAAAGGAUCAGAUUCGACUAGAGAGAUUAUCUCAGGAUCUACAGAGAAUUCAUAAUCCUUAUCGGUGAUAAAGAUAGGUGAAGUGGCAAACUUUGGGUCGUAUUUCAUCCUAGCUUUCAGAGAUUUUUGCUUCCACUUGAAAGUAAUUUCUCAACGUCAUAGGCAUCCUUACACGCAAGAAAAUCCUCAGCUAUCUCUCCCUCCAUAACAUAACCCUCAGGUAUAUUAGGCAAUUCAUAUCUAGGAGAGCUAGAUCUAGCAGGAGCAAAAGCAGGUUCUAUCUCAAUAGUACCGGCAGUUUCAGAAGCAUCACGAGCAUUGGAGUAACUCUGGCAAUAUGAGCAAUAAGGAAUAACCCUAGUGGCAAAUCAGGCAAAGUAGUAUCUCUAGCAGUAUCAAGCAUAGCAUCAUCAGGCAAAAUAGCAUCUCUAGCAUCAUCAGGCAAAGCAGUAUCAAGCAUAUCAUCAUGGAUAGCAGUAUCAGGCAUAGUAUCUCUAGCACUAGGUGGUGUAGCAUCUCUAGCAGUAUCAGGCAUAGUAGCAUCAUAAGCAUCAUCAAGCACAGGCGACAUAUCAAGAUUUGUAGCAGGAGGUGGUGUCGCAAACUUACUCAUAACUGAAGGUGAAUCAAGUGCAGAGCUAGAUGGCACUUCCUUACCUCCCCUCGUAGUUGAGGGCAAGACUUUGGUUUUGGGAUCCUUCAGAUUCUUCAUAGUGAUCAACAGAUAUAAAUCCCAAGUGACUCAGAGAAUAUAGCAAUACCUCCCCGGCAACGGCGCCAGAAAAAUACUGCUUCUGUGACAACAGACCUUCCCCUGCAACGGCGCCAGAAGAAUGCUGCUAGCACUCCCCGGCAACGAAACUAGAAGAAUGUUGUUGAAGGCCCACCAGCGCGUGGGUUCGCGGCAGUUUUCGAGGGUAGAGUAUUCGACCCAAAUUUGUUGGUACACCAGUCAGGAGGUGAGAGAAUACUCUCGAGUAUUAGCAGCUGAAUGUGUCGGAUUCAACCACACCUGAAAGAUUAGUAUCUGCAAGCAAAGUAGUAGCAGCAAAGUAGGAUGAUAACAACGGUGUCAGAAACGAUCUGUUGACGGCAAGCUAUUCCUAACUGUCUUAUCAAUGGCGCUAGAAGUUGCUCGUUGACGGAAAUUGUCCUUUCCCGUCAACAACGAGCGAACUAGAAUUGUAGCAGGUAGCAGCAGUGUAACGAGUAACAGCAGUGGCAAGGAACAACAGUAGUGACAGCAUAGCAAGUAGCGAUAGUAGCAAGCGACGGUAGUAACAGCAGUAGCAGCAGAGCAAGGCAAGUAACAUCAGCAGUGGGACAAACUCGUGGGCAAUGGGUCGGUGAUUCGUUUGGAUGAUAUUCAUCAUGCAACAGUUAUAACACGGAGAGAUAUGUGGCUAGCUCCCGUUCGUCAAUGUGAUGUAGGCAUGCAUUCCGUGUGUAGUCAUACGUGCUUAGGGAAAAGAACUUGCAUGGCAUCUAUUGUCCAUCCCUCCCGUGGCAGCGGGGUCCAAAAGGAUACUAUGGGAUAUUAAAGUUCUCCUUUUAAUAAAGAACCGGAACAACGCAUUAGCACUUGGUGAACACAUGAACUCCUCAUACUAUGGUCAUCACCGGGAGUGGUUCCGGUUAUUGUCACUCCGGGGUUGCCGGGUCAUAACACAUAGUAGGUAACUACAACUUGCAAGAUCGGAUCUAAAACACACAUAUAUUGGUGAUAACAUAAUAAUUUCAGAUCUGAAAUCAUGGCACUCGGGCCCUAGUGACAAGCAUUAAACAUGGCAAAGUAGUAGCAACAUCAAUCUCAAAACAUAGUGGAUACUAGGGAUCAAUCCCCGUAAAACAAAUUCGGUUACAUGAUAGAUCUCAUCUGACUCAUCACCGCCCAGCGAGCCUACGAAUAGAUUACUUAUGAACAAUGAAGAGCUUCAUGGAAUUGGAGAGGGAAGAAGGUUGAUGAUGACGAUGGCGAUGAUUUCCCCUCUCCGGAGCCCAAAACGGACUCCAGAUCUGUCAUCCAGAUGAAGAACAGGAUGUGGCGGCGCCUCCGUAUCGCAAACGCGACGAAAUCUUCUCUUCUGAUUUUUUCUGGGUGAAAGUGAAUUUAUAGCGCUGAUAUUGGGGGCGGCAGAGCCACGUGGGCCCCACAAGCUUGGUUGCCGCAGCCAGGGGGGAGGUCGCGGCAAUAGGGCUUGUGGCCCACUCGCACAUGCCCUCCGGUGGAUCUCUGCGCAGGUAAAUUUUCAGGACGUUCCGAGAACUUUCAUUUCUGCACAAAAACAACACCAUGGCAAUUCUGCUGAAAACAGCGUCUGUCCGGGUUAGUUCCAUUCAAAUCAUGCAAAUUAGAGUCCAAAACAAGGGCAAAAGAGUUUGGAAAAGUAGAUACGAUGGAGACGUAUCAAUGGCCAGGCCAAAAAUUUGAGAUGUUUGAAAUUCAUUUCCAUUUCUUUGCAUGGGACCUAAAGAUGCAGCCAUGUACACUUCUAUGCUGUUUUAACCCAUUUUGAUGCACCAAACCUUGUGACUGUAGUUAAAAUUUUAAUUAUGCACAUUAAAUGCCUAUGAAACUCAAUUAACAUUUAAAAAGGCAAAGCAGACCCUCGAUACAAUUCCAUAUUUUAGCACCACACUCCUACUAGUCUAUGAUACCUCUAGAAAAAGUUCAGUGCGAGAAGAGGUAGCGCAUGUCAUUUCAUCAACAUCAUAGCAUGUUACGUGUGUUCCCUAUGGGAACCACAAAGGUUUUCCGUGAGAAGCUCUAGUUUGUAAGGGGCUUGUGCCAAAACUUUUCCCAAAUUGCUUAAUUUUUUUACCAUGGCCAUACAUGCCAUGUCAUGACACCGUGACAAGUUCAGUGAAUUUAUGACGAGUUUUCGAUUUACGUGAAUUUAAAACCCGACUGUCUCAAUGUUUUUGUGGACAAGCCAAGACCCCAAUAUGUUUGAAAUACAUUCACAUUUCUUGCAUGGGACAUAAAGAUGCAGCCAUGUACACUUAUAUGAUUUUUUAAUCCAUUUUGAUGCACUAGACCUUGUGAUUUUAGUUUAAAUUUUAAUUAUGCACAUUAAAUGCCUAUAAAAUUCAAUAAAUGUAUAAAAAGACCGAACGAAUCAUCUAUAAUUCCAUAUUUUAGCACGACACUCAUGUUAGUCUAUGUUGCCUCUAUAAAUAGUUCAAGGCGAGAAGAUUCAUGUAAGGUGACGCCUUCCAUCAUGUAAGGUGACACCUUCAAUAUUGGAACCAGAAAGAGCUUCCCAUGAGAAACUUUGGUUUGCAAGGGGCCUAUGCCAAAACUUGACCCAAAUUGGACAUUUUUUGUACCAUGCCACAUAUGGGCCAUGUCAUGGUACCAUGCCAAGUUUCAUGAAUUUCUGACAAGUUUUUGAUUUACAUGAAUUAGAAAAGCUUCUCAUUUCAUGCAUGGGGCCUCUAUAGAUGGAGUCAUGGACACUUAUAUGAUUUUUGAACCCAUUUUGAUGCAUGAGACCUUGUGAUUGUAUUUAAAAAUUGAAUUAUACACAUUAAAUGCCUAGAAAAUUCAUUUAAUGUAUAAAAAUUGCAAAAUAAGCCCUGAAUAAUUCCAUAUUUUAGCAAGGCACACUCAUUAGUCGAUAUUCCCUAGAGAAAGUUCAAGGCGAGAAGAUGACGGAUGCCAUGUCACUAAUUAAUGUGACAUGUUCCCUAUUGAAACCACAAAGCUUCUCGUGAGAAGCUCUGGUUUGUAAGGGGCUUGUGCCAAAACUUGUACCAAAUUGACAAAACAAUUACCACGACACAUAUGUGCCAUGUGAUGACAACAUGCCAAGUUUCAUGAAUUUUUCAAUUAUUUUGGAUUUACAGUAAAUUAAAACCAAGUUUAUCAAUGUUUGCAGCCAAGCCAAGACCCCCGAGAGGUUUGAAAUUCAUUCCCAUUUCUUGCUUGUGACAUAAAAAUGAAUCCAUGGACACUUAUAUGAUUUUUCAACACAUUAUGAUGCACCGAACGUCGUGAUUGUAGUUCAAAAUUGAAUUAUACACAUUAAAUGUCUAUAAAACUCAAUUAAUGUAUAAGAAAAUGUUCAACUCAACACUUAAUAAUUUUGUAUUUUAUCACGACACCACUAUUGGUCUUUGUUCACUGCAAAUAAAUCUUAUUGUAAUCCAAACAAAGUACCUUGCCGAAGUAACCUCAUUUUUUAUUUCUACAACAAUAUCAAAAUCAAGUAUAUCGCAAAUAGUUCAUGUGCAUGAAUCGUGUGUGAUGGAGUGCAAAAUAUCUUGGGCGAGUCCUCAGACAUGGUCUUUUGUUGGAGCGCUCGUCUUUUGUUAGAGUAAUAUUGUUUAGGUCAUCUAAUUAUGUUUAAUUUCCCGAUUGAGUAAGUGUGGGUAGUGUUGUAGGUUCUUUUGUGUAGUACUCAAAUUUGCAAGUGAUGUUAAAUUAAGCAAUGACUUGGAUAACCACCGUAACAAGGGAAAUUUUGACCAAAAUUUCUACUGUAUCCCCAUCUUCUCUUCCAAAUGAAAAUGACCAAAAUUUCUACGUUCACUAUCAUCACACAUGGGAUAAACUAUAGGAUCAUUUGUGAUGUUGGAUAUCGCACACAAUUCAGAUAAAAACAUUGUGUCCUAUGUGACUGCACGCGCCCAGUAUCUCGCCACACCGAACGCACAUUUUGGGUUGUCACACAAAUAUCUACCUCCCCCACACCCCGUACCAGCCAAAACCACAUUUCCCCCUUCUUCCCCUUCCCUUCAUAACUUCAAACCUGCAUAGCUUGGUUGUAGUGCCGCCUCCUCGCCGGCGACGCUUGAUAACCCACAAGUGUAGGGUAUCAUUUCUAGCCUUUUCCGGUAAGUCGGUGUGUUGAAUCCAACGAGGAGCUAAAGGUAGAAUUAAUAUUAUCUCAAGUUCUAUCAACCAUCGAUACAAAUCUACGCACACUAACGCUUGCUUUACCUAAAACAAGUAUGAAACUACUUUGCGGGAAGGAAACUAGAAGUACUUAGUAGGUGUAAUAGAUAGUUUUGCAAGCUAAUAAAGAACACGUAAAUAAAAGUUAGGGGAUGUUUAGGUAAAGAUUAAUUAAGUUAGUUGUUUAGUAGAAAGCUUUUUGUGUAAUGCAAGAAAAAGAUUGUCCAUAUGCAAUGAGGGAGAGGUAUACGCUAACACACUUUCCGUACUUGGAUCAUAUGCAUUUAUGAUUGGACCUCUAGCAAACAUCCGCAACUACUAGUAAUCAUUAAGGUAAACCAAACCAUAGCAUUAAACAUCAAGUCCUCUUUACUCCAACACUUUCCAUAUUUUUAUCUUUUAUCAUUGCACAUUAAAACUUAUCCUUGAGUAGGUAAAUGAUAAAACAUAAGUUUUGAUGUGGAAUGCUACGUGACAUAAUCUUGAACAAAUGUCUAAUCAUGGCAUGAACAUUAAGAUACAAGUGAUACAAGGUAAUAGUCUAUUAUUGGACAAAAAUACAUCUACUCUCAUGUUUACUAGCAAACAAUCGUGUCCUUUCAAAAUAACAGUGCUAAAUAACGCUAUCCCUACAAAAUCAUAUAGCAUGUCAUGCUUGGUCUUCCUAGCAAAAAGUAUAAAUCAUGAGUACCUCGAUGUCAAACCAAGCAAUUGGACCGUACUUCUUAAAGCGCUUCAGCUUUUUAUAACUCACUCAAUAUAUGAGUGUGAACCAUGGACAUAGCAUAUAUGUGAAAUAGAAUAUGGUGGUAGGUUUCAAAGGGAUGAAAGUCGAGAAGAAAGCCCCGCAACAACUAGGAAUAUUAACAGGCUAUGGAGAUGCCCAUUAAUAUAUAUUAAUGCAAGGAGUAGUAUUUGCCAUGGAACACAUGCAUUAGAGCUAUAAGUGUAUGAAAGCUCAACUAAAGCUAAGUGGGUGUGCAUCUAACUUUCUUCCUCAUGAAGAUCUCGUGCAUUUGAGGAAGCCCGUCACCGGAAUAUACAAGCCAAGUUCUAUAAUGAAAAUUCCCACUAGCAUAUGGAAGUGACAAAACAAAAGACCCUCUAUAUGAAGAACAUGGUGCCAAUUUGAGGCACAAGUGUGGAAUAAGAGGUAGUAGCACUGUCCCUUCUCUUUUUUCUCUCAUUUUUUUAUUUUUCUCCUUUUUUCCUUUUUUUAUUCUUUGGGGGUCUCUUUUUUCGUCUGGAGUCUCAUCCCAACUUGUGGGGGAAUCAUUGUCUCUGUUAUCCUUUCCUCACAGAGAUAGUGCUCUAAUAAUGAUGAUCAUCACAUUUUUAUUUACUUACAACUCGAUAUAACAACUCAAUGAUGAUAUGAUAUGACUAUAUGAAUGCCACGGGCAGUGUACCAUGAUGUGCAAUGAUCUAGCGUAACAUGUAUGAUAAUGAUGAACGGUGGCUUUGCCACAAAUAAUAUUUCAGCUACAUGAUCAUGCAAGGCAAUAUGAGAAUGAAGGUACUAGUCAUAUGAUGUGACGACGAAAGUUGCAUGGUAAUAUAUCUUGGAAUGACUAUGGAAAUGCCAUGAUAAGUAGGUAUGGUGGUUGUUUUGAGGAAGAUAUAAGGUGGCUUAUGUGUAAUAGAGUGUAUCGUGUCGUGGGGUUUGGAUGCACCGGCGAAGUUUGCACCAAUCCUCGAGGUGAGAAUGGACAAUGCACGGUACCAAAGAGGCUAGCAAAUAUGAGGUGGCGAGAGUGCAUACAUCCAUGGAUUCACAUUAGUCAUAAAUAACUCAAAUACUUAUUCCAAGCUUUUAUUUUCUCUCUCGAAGCAAAGUACUACUCGCAUGCUCCUAGGGAGGAGUUAACCAUCGCGUACUCCCGGUUAUCUAUACCUAAUAAUAAAACGGCUAUUGUUUCCGUCGGAAAACCCACCGCAGCAUUUUCAUAAAAAAGCCCCUGUAAUUUUUUUAUUCAACCCGCGCUCCAUCAUUUAUCUGCAACGUAAAAGGAAAAAACGAUUCGCUGCAAAAAUUAUACCCGUACGCAUCGCCUCCUCCCGUCGGUCCUGGGCCACCCUGGCAUGUGCCCAGGCCGCCGCCACACCACUCGCCGCCGCGGCCGAUCUCAAGCGCCACCGCUGCUGAUCUCAACCCACCCGCCUUCGCGGCCGUACCUCUCCCCGCUCACUGCCCCCGUUGCGGCGCUCGAGCUUAUCACAUCGACCCUGGUCCAUCCUGGCCUGUGCCUAGGCCGCUGCCACAUCACUCGCCGUCGCAGUCGACCUCAACCACCACUGUUGUCGAUCUCAACCCACCCGCCUCCGCGGCCGUACCUCUGCCCGCUUGCUGCCCCCGUUUCAACGCUCGAGCACAGCUUCUGGAUCAAAUCAACGUGACAGCUACAGUGACUAGGGAUGAUGCGUCUGCUCGAUGCAGAACGGCGGCGGCGCGCGGAUAAGGCGCGGCGGAGCGAAGUACUUGCAGGUGGAGGCGGGCCUCCAUGGCUCACACGGGGAACUCCGAGGUUAUGGCGCGGCAACGGCAACUCCUUAUGGCCAGAUAGAGGCGCCUAACCCUUGCUCCCCUCAUCGUAUCCCCUCCUCCGGCAGGAACUCAUCAUCUGGUGAGAUCCCCUCCCCAUGCCUCCAACCGNNNNNNNNNNNNNNNNNNNNNNNNNNNNNNNNNNNNNNNNNNNNNNNNNNNNNNNNNNNNNNNNNNNNNNNNNNNNNNNNNNNNNNNNNNNNNNNNNNNNUGUGCCAAGCACCGGCAAGAAAUUUUAUUUUGUGGGAAUUUGUUUGUUGAUGAAUGAAUGUAUUGAAUGUAAGAUUGUAUUGUUGUAGAGACAGAGAAUGGAACACCACCUUCAGUUUGUCGUCUGAUCCCACAUUCUCUACCCCAUGAAUGAAAUAAGAUAACAGACCAUUGAUCAAUUCACGUAGCCUCUUUGUUUUGCUUUGCUUGUCCUGCUCAAUUUCUCAUCAUGGUGGAAUUAACAAUGGACGGGUUGAUUCCUCAACAAAAUAGGAUAGGACUAACUACAUUAGUUAGUUAGCUUAUUAUUUUAAUAAAUAAAAAUGAUUAUAAAAAAGAUUAAAAGCGUGUGGUAUUUUUUUCUCCCGUUGCAAUGCACGAGCCCUUUUGCUAGUAACAAUAGAAAGAAUUUAAAUAAAGGAUAAAUUAUGAUCCAACUUCAUCGCAUAACUAGAGACUAUAUGUGCAUGCUUCGAGAAUCACAAACCUCAACAUCAAUAUUUUUACUAAACCACAAUCAUUCAUUGUACCCCCACAUAUUACCAUCUUAAUAUCGCAAAAGUAUUACACGGAAUCAAACAUAUCAUAUUCAGUGAUCUACAAUUUAUGUAGGAUUUUAUGACUAACCAUGUAAACGACCAAUUCCCGUUGACUCUCUAAAUAGGUAUAAGUGAAGCAUGAGAGUCUAAUUAUUUCUACAAAAUACCAUGCUCUAAUAAAUAUAAGUGAAGUAAAAGAGCAUUCUACAAAUGAUGGUUUUUUAUAUGUAAACAAACAGGCAUCCAACUUCAAAUGAUAGAAGUGAAGCACAUGAAGCACUCUAUAAAGCCAUACUAAAAAGAUACAAGUGAAGUGCAAAGAGAAUUAUAUAAAUCAACCAUGGACUUCCCAUACCAGCAUAGUGCAUUACUAAAAUGAAAAUAAGGCACAAGUGAUAACCCACAAGUAUAGGGGAUCGCGACAGUCUUCACGGGUAGUAUUUCACCCUAAUCUAUUGAUUCGACACAAGGGGGCCAAACAAUAUUUAUUGGCCUUGACAGUUGAGUUAAAAAUUCAAACGCACAUGGGAUAUCUCUCUGCAACAAAGUCUUAGUAGCAUGGUAAAUUAUAGUAGUAGAAGUAACAGUGAUAGCAGCAAUUUUGGUAACAACAAUAAUAGUAGCGAUCGAGUAACAGGUGUGACAGUAAUAGCACGAGUAGUAACUUAGCAAGAUUCAGUAUAUGUAAAGCGUGGGCAUGUGGAUCGGUGAUGGAUAAGGAUUUAGAUGACAUCAAUCAUGUAAUAUUUACACACUAGGGCAACACAUAACUAACUCAAGUUCAUCAAUGUAAUGUAGGCAUGUAUUCCGUAUAUAGUCAUACGUGCUUGCGAUAAGAACAUGGAUGCCAUCUUUUGUCCUACCCUAUCGUGGCAGCGGGGUCCUAUUAGAAACUAAGGGAUAUUAAGGCCUCCUUUUAAUAGAGAACAGGAACAACGCAUUAACAGAUGGUGAAUACAUGAACUCCUCAAACUACGGCGAUCACCGGAAAGAAUCCCAAUUAUUGUCACCUUGGGGUAUGUUGUUCAUGACACGUAAUAGGUGACUACAACAUGCAAGAUUGGAUCCACGUCACUCUUAUAUUCAUGAAAACAUAAUAGGUUCAUAUAUGAAAUCAUGGCACUCGGGCCCUAGUGACAAGCUUUAAGCAUAGCAAAAUCAUAGCAACCUCAAUCUCAAAACAUAGUGGAUACUAGGGAUCAAGCCCUAUCAAACUUAAAUCGAUUACAUGAUCAAUAUCAUCCAAUCCCACCACCGUCUAGAAAGCCUACAAAGGAAUUAAUCACCCCCGUAGGCGUGCAUCAUGGCGGUGUUGAAGCAGAAGAGUUGGUGAUUACGGUAAUGAAUCCCCCUAUCCAGUGCCCCAAAAGGACUCCAGAUAAGCCCUCCCGGGAAAGAACAAUAGAUGGUGGCGGCUUUGUCUCAUAAAAAGCGAUGAAAUCUUCUCUAUGAUUUUUUCUCCUCGUAGGCCCCACAAGCCAUCAGGGCACAUCCAGGGGGUGGGCCCUAUUGGUUUGUGGCCCAUAGACAACCCCCCUCUAGUAGAUAUUCGCCCCAUAAUUCAAUAUAUAUUCCAAAAAUUAUUCAGAAAAAGGUUCGGCCAAUUCUGGGAACUUUUAUUUCUAUACAAAAAUAACAGCAAGGUAGUUCUUGAUUCGACGGUAUUGUUGGAUUGAAGCGGCCUGGACCAACAUUACUCGUACGCUUACGAGAGACCGGUUUCAUCGACCAACAUGCAACUCGUUGCAUAAAGAUGACNNNNNNNNNNNNNNNNNNNNNNNNNNNNNNNNNNNNNNNNNNNNNNNNNNNNNNNNNNNNNNNNNNNNNNNNNNNNNNNNNNNNNNNNNNNNNNNNNNNNNNNNNNNNNNNNNNNNNNNNNNNNNNNNNNNNNNNNNNNNNNNNNNNNNNNNNNNGUUGGUUUCUUCAACUUUAGUUGAAUUGGAUUUGACCGAGGCGGUCCUUGGAGAGAGGUUAAAUAGCAAUUUGCACAUCUCUUGUGGUUUUUGCAUAAGUAAGAUGCGAUCAUACUAGAUACCCAUAGCAGCCACGUAAAACAUGCAAAAAUAAAUUAGAGGACGUCUAACUUGUUUUUGCACGGUAUACUUAUGAUGUGAUAUGGCCAAAGACAUGAUGUGAUAUAUUGGAUGUAUGAGAUGAUCAUGUUGUAAUAGUUAAUAUCGACUUGCACGCCGAUGCUACGGCAACCGGCAUGAUCCAUAGGGUUGUCUUUNNNNNNNNNNNNNNNNNNNNNNNNNNNNNNNNNNNNNNNNNNNNNNNNNNNNNNNNNNNNNNNNNNNNNNNNNNNNNNNNNNNNNNNNNNNNNNNNNNNNNNNNNNNNNNNNNNNNNNNNNNNNNNNNNNNNNNNNNNNNNNNNNNNNNNNNNNNNNNNNNNNAACGUUUGUGUUUGCAGAUGUGUUUACUAUAUGGCUAGGUUGUAGCUUUAGUAGUAAUAGCAUAGAUAGCAUGAUAAUAAUGAUGGCAGCAUGAUGAUGGAGAUCAUGAUGAUGAAGAUCAUGGUGUGGCGCCGAUGAUGAUGAAGAUCAUGCCGGUGCUUUGGUGAUGGAGAUCAAGAAGCACAAGAUCAUGGCCAUAUCAUGUCACUUAUGAAUUGCAUGUGAUGUUAAUCCUUUUAUGCACCUUAUCUUGCUUAGAACAACGGUAGCAUUAUAAGGUGAUCCCUCACUAAAAUUUCAAGAUAAAACUAUGUUCUCCCCGACUGUGCACCACUGCAACAGUUCGUCGUUUCGAUACACCACGUGAUGAUCGGGUGUGAUAGACUCAACGUUCACAUACAACGGGUGCAAAACAGUUGCACACGCGGAACACUCGGGUUAAACUUGACGAGCCUAGAAUGUGCAGACAUGGCCCCGGAAUACAAGAGACCAAAAGGUCCACCAUGAAUCGUAUAGUUGAUAUGAUUAGCAAUUUAGCAUAGAGAUGUUUACCACUGAAACUAUACUCAACUCACGUGAUGAUCGGAUUUGAGUUAGUGAAUUUGGAUCAUGCCACACUCAAGUAACUAGAUGGAUGUCUAUUUGAGGGGGAGUUUAUUAGUAAUUCGAUUAGUUAAACUCUAAUUGUCUUGAACAUAGUCUAAGUCCACUUUGCAAUAUUUUAUGUUGUAGAUCAAUGGCUAACGCAGUAGCAACCCUGAAUUUCAAUACGUUCCUAGAGAAAGCUAAGCGGAAAGAUGAUGCUAGCAACUUCGUAGACUGGGCUCGUAAUCUUAGGCUCAUCCUACAAGAUGGGAAAAAGAAUUAUGUCCUUGAUGCUGCGCUAGGAGAUGAACCACCCGCUACGUCUGACCAAGAUGGUUUGAACGCUUGGCAAUCACAUAAGGAGGACUACUCAGUAGUUCAAUGUGCAGUCUUGUAUGGCUUGGAACCGGGACUUCAACGGCGCUUUGAGCGUCAUGGAGCAUAUGGGAUGUUCCAGGAGUUGAAGUUUAUCUUUCAGAAGAACGCCCAGAUCGAGAGGUAUGAGACCUCCGAUAAAUUAUAUGCUUGCAAGAUGGAGGAGCAUUCGUCUGUCAGUGAACAUGUGCUCAAAAUGUAUGGGUACUCAAACCGUCUAGCUGAGCUGGGGAUUGAACUCCCGCAAGAGGCUAUCACUGACAGAAUUCUUCAAUCACUGCCACCUAGCUAUAAGAGCUUUGUGUUGAACUAUAACAUGCAAGGGAUGAACAAGUCACCCGACAAGUUAUUCGCGAUGCUGAAAGUCGCAGAGUCGGAACUCUGGAAAGAGCAUCAAAUGUUGAUGGUCAAUAAGACCACUGGUUUCCAGAGAAACGGCAAAGUCAAGAAGGCUAACUCCAAGAAGAGCGGCAAGACUGUUGCCAAUCCGACGAAGAAACCCAAGGCUGGACCUAAGCUGGAAACAUACUGAUAUUAUUGCAAGGGGAUGGGUCAGUGGAAGNNNNNNNNNNNNNNNNNNNNNNNNNNNNNNNNNNNNNNNNNNNNNNNNNNNNNNNNNNNNNNNNNNNNNNNNNNNNNNNNNNNNNNNNNNNNNNNNNNNNACACAUAUAUUGGUGACAACAUAAUAAUUUCAGAUCUGAAAUCGUGGCACACGAGCCCUAAUGACAAGCAUUAAGCAUGGCAAAGUAGUAGCAACAUCAAUCUCAGAACAUAGUGGAUACUAGGGAUCAAUCCCCGUCAAAACUAACUCGAUUAGAUGAUAGAUCUCAUCCUACUCAUCAUCGCCAAGCGAGCCUACGAAUAGAUUACUCACGAAAUAUGAAGAGCUUCAUGGAAUUGGAGAGGGAAGAAGGUUGAUGAUGAUGAUGGCGACGAUUUCUCCUCUCCGGAGCCCAAAACGGACUCCGGAUCUGUCCUCGAGAUGAAGAACAGGAUGUGGCGGCGCCUCCAUAUCGCAAACGCGAUGAAAUCUUCUCUUCUAAUUUUUUCUAGGCGAAAGUGAAUUUAUAGAGCUGAGAUUGGGGGCAGCAGAGCCACAUGGGCCCGAGAAGCUUUGUUGCCGCGGCCGGGGGGGCCGUGGCAACACGGCUUGUGGCCCACUGGCCCAUGCCCUCCGGUGGAUCUUUUCUGCACAGGUAUUUUUCAUAUUUUCCAGAAAAAUUCUCCGUAAAUUUUCAAGACGUUCUGAGAACUUUCAUUUCUGCACAAAAACAACACCAUGGCAAUUCUGCUGAAAACAGCGUCAGUCCGGGUUAGUUCCAUUCAAAUCAUGCAAAUUAGAGUCCAAAACAAGGGCAAAAGAGUUUGGAAAAGUAGAUACGAUGGAGACGUAUCAAACUCCCCCAAGCAUAAAACCUUGCUUGUCCUCAAGCAACCGAGUUGACAAACUGAGAGAAAAGAAAAAAACUUUGACAAACUCUGUUUGAUCUUGUUGUUGCAGUUAUGUCUAACUCAUAACCAGAAUUUCAGCAAGAUCACAAGUUAACCACAUAAGCAAGUGACACAAAGGUCUCACGGUAAACUAAUAUCAAUGUCAUAAUCAGCUAGCGAGCAAAUAAUAAUGAGUUUCAGAUACCAACAAUUCAAUCAAAACAAGCAUGAAGCAAUAUGAAUAGGUGGUAUCUCGCUAGCUCUUUCUGAGACCGCAAAACAUAAAUGCAGAGCACUUUCAAAGAUCAAGGGCUGACUAAACAUUGUAAUUCAUAGCAAUGAAGAUCCAGUCAUAGUCAUACUCAAUAUCAAUCAAAAGCAAAGCAUAAAUAUGACAGAGGUGCUCUCUAAUUGGUGCUUAUAUAAGAAGAGGAUGACUCAACAGGAAAAUAAAUAGACAGGCCCUUCGCGGAGGGAAGCAUUGAUUUGUAGAGGUGCCAGAGAUCAAGCUUUGAAAACAGAGAUAAUAAUUUUGGGUGGCAUCCUUUCAUUGUCAACGCAAUGACCAAGAGUUCUCAAUAUCUUCCAUGGUAGUCAUGCUAUAGGCGGUUUCCAAACAGAAAAGUAAAGUUUUAACUCCCCCGCCACCAAUCAAUCACACUCCACGGCUAGCCGAAUCCUCGGGUACCGUCCAUACUAACAUCAAUCCGGGGGGAGUCUUGUUUUACAGUUAUGUUUUCGAUUUAAGCGUGGAACUGGGCAUUCCAAUUACCGGCUCCUUUCUCGUGAAUGACAGUGAAUAAACACAUGUCGAGGAUAACACGCCUAACAUGGAAGAUACCAAUAGCCCCCUGUCACCACAUGAGCAGUUCGGGCAUGCAAAACAGAUUAUUUCUUGAAGGUUUAGAGAAUGGCACAUGCAAAUUUACUUGGAGCGGCAGGUAAAUACCGCACAUAGGUAGGUAUGGUGGACUCUCAUGGAAAAACUUUUGGGUUUAUGGAAGUGGGUGCACAAGCAGUAUUCCGCUUAAUACAAGUGAAGGCUAGCAAAAGACUGGGAAGCGACCAACUAGAGAGCGACAACAGUCAUCAAGAUGCAAUGACUUUGACUAACAUGGAGUGCAAGCAUGAACAGGAUAUAAAUCACCAUGAACACGAACAUCAUAGAGGCUAUGUUGAUUUUGUUUCAACUACAUGCAUGAACAUGCGCCAAGUCAAGCCACUUGAAUCAUUCAAAGGAGAAUACCAUCCUAUCAUACUACAUCAUAGUCAUCUCAAAAUCUAUGUUGGCAUUCAAGACAAACCAUUAUAAGCUCCUAGCUAAAUAAGCAUGGCAUCAGAAACUAUGAUCUCUAAGUUGUCAUUGCAAACAUGGUUCUCUCACAACAAAGCUAAAUCUGGGACGACAAGCUAGUCAUAUUUACAAAAACAAAAUAGAUAGAGUUCAUACCAGCUUUUCCAGUCUCAGUCACUUCAUCAUGUAUCAUCAUUAUUGCCUUUCACUUGCACAAUCGAACGAUGUGAACAAUAAUAAGCGUGCUCGUGCAAUGGACUAAGCUGAAUCUGCAGGCAAACACAAAGGAGAAGACAAAGUAAUAUGGCUCUUUGAAAGCUAAACAGGUAUGCAUGCAAGAGCCACUAAACAUUGUAACCAAUAUCUUCUACCUUGACCCAAAGAAAAAGAAAACUAUUUACACGGGAAAGCUCCCAACAAGCAAAAUAAGAAAGGAAAAUCUUUUUGGGUUUUUUCAAAAGGACACAAAACAAGAAAACAAAAAUAAACUAGCAUGGAUAAUACAGUGGCAAAGUGUAAACACCGGCUAACAAGGUGAAAGCAUAAGCAUGAAUGUAAUGUCGGUGAGAACACGUACUCCCCCAAGCUUAGGCUUUUGGCCUAGCUUGGUCCACUCCCAAGGCGGGAAAUAACCAGCUCCGGGGUACUCCGGAGCGGACUGUGGAUGCCACUGCUGUGUGAACUCCUCUGGCUCCCACUGAUAAACUGGCGUCUGGUACUCGACUGGCGGCUCGGGCACGGGCACCUGUGAUUGGGCUAAGCCCCAAUAUAUGCGUAGAUGUGUGAGGGAAUAAUAAUGUACCUACCUGCAUAAAGGUUGAACAAAGAAGGAGCAGGCAAAGUAAUAGUCUCUCGAGUACCCUAACUAAAUACCAGGUUAUAAAUCAUCCGUCUACUAGCAUCUCUAUCCAGAAAAUCAUGGCGAACCAUGCUGUCAUAAUCCAGAUAUUUCUCAGGGAGAAGCAUCUCUUCUUCCUCGCGAAGUCUAAUAGGUAUCUCAAAGUGUCUAGUGAUACGUCUCGAAUGUAUCUAUAAUUUUUGAUGGUUUCAUGUUGUUAUCUUGUCAUCUUUGGAUGUUUUAUGUACCUUUUAUAUCUUUUUUGGGACUAACUUAUUAAUUCAGUGCCAAGUGCGAGUUCCUGUUUUUUCUGUGUUUUUGGCUCUUUUCAGAUCUGAUUUUGGAACGGAGUCCAAACGGCAUAAAAUCCCCGAAAUAAAUUUUUCCCGAACGGAAGAAGAUCAGGGGGCUUGAGGGCCAAGCCAGGAGGGCUACACGGGGCCCACAAGCCCCCUAUCCGCCACCAGGGGGUGGCGGUGGGCAGGCUUGUGGCCUACCUGGCGCCCCCCUGACCUAGAUCCUUCGCCUAUAUAUUCCCUAAAAUACAGAAAAAAAAUCAAGGGAUCCACGAAAAUAUUUUCCGCCGCUGCAAGCUUCCGUUUCCGCGAGAUCUCAUCUGGAGACCCUUCCCGGUGCCCUGCCGGAGGGGACAUUGGAGCUGGAGGGCUUCUACAUCAACAUCAUCGCCUCUCCAAUGACUCAUGAGUAGUUCACUUCAGACCUACGGGUCUGUAGUUAGUAGCUAGAUGGCUUCUUCUCUCUCUUGGAUCUUCAAUACAAAGUUCUCCAUGAUCUUUAUGGAGAAAUAUCCGAUGUAAUCCUCUUUGGCGGUGUGUUUGUCGAGAUCCGAUAAAUUGUGGAUUUGUGAUCAAGAUUAUCUAUGAUAUAUAUUUGAGUCUUUGCUGAUUUCUUAUAUGCAUGAUUNGAUAUCCUUGUAAGUCCCUCCGAGUCUUGGGUUUUGUUUGGCCAACUAGAUCUAUGAUUCUUGCAAUGGGAGAAGUGCUUGGUUUUGGGUUCUUACCGUGCGGUGACCUUUCCGAGUGACAGUAGGGGCAGCAAGGCACACAUCAUAUAGUUGCCAUCAAGGGUAACAAGGUGGGCUUUGUCGUAGAUAUGAGAUUGUCCAUCUACAUCAUGUCAUCUUGCUUAAGGCGUUACUCUGUUCUUUUGGACUUAAUACACUAGAUGCAUGCUGGAUAGCAGUCGACGGGUGGAGUAAUAGUAGUAGAUGCAAAAAGUAUCGGUCUACUUGUUUUGGACGUGAUGCCUAUAGAUAUAAUCAUUGCCAUAGAUGACGUCACGACUUUGCGCGGUUCUAUCAAUUGCUCGACAGUAAUUUGUUCACCCACCGUCUACUCGCUUUCAUGAGAGAAGCCACUAGUAAACACUACGGCCCCCGGGUCUAUUCACACCUAUCGUUUCCACUUUCGCUUUUACUUUGCUUUGUUACUUUGUUGCUUUCAGUUCUCACUUGGCAAACAAUCUAUAAGGGAUUGACAACCCCUUCAUAGGGUUGGGAGCAAGCUUUUUGUGUUUGUGCAGGCACUUGAGAUACUCCUUCACUGGAUCGAUACCUUGGUUCUCAAACUGAGGGAAAUACUUACCAUCGCUGCGCUACAUCACCAUUUCCGCUUCGAGGGAACACCAACGCAAGGCUCCAAGGCCACGGGGGAAUCCUUUGCAUAUUUGCCUAGGAAAUCCCUUAAGGUGUAGCCGUAGCAGAAGGAUUCCUGGUGCCGUUGUUGAGGAGUAUCAAGACAAGAACAGUCUCCCGUCAACACGCCUAUUUCUGGCGCUGUUGGAAGUUCUUAUGUUGAAGUACCAUAAGUAUUUAUGGCGCCGUUGCCGGGGAAGGAGAGAUCUAUCCAAGUAGGUCUCAUAAACUCUUCUCUUGCAUUUACUUUUGUUGCUAGUUGCCUCUCGUUUUCCUCUCCCCCACUUCACAUUUGCCGUUUUCAUUUGCCUUUCUCCUUCGCCGUUUUCUUUUGCUUUUUUCGUUCACCCUUUUCUCUCGCUUGCUUUCUGUUCACUUGUGCGCCAUGUGCCUUCAAUAUGCUUGCAUCUUCGCUUGCUGAAAAUCUAGUGAUAUGGAUCCUCAUCCACUUGCUAAUCUCUUUAAGAGACCCACUCGUGUGGAACAAAUUGCUAGUGAGUUGAGGGCAAUUGACUAUUUCUUUGGAGUUUUGCGUAAGAUGCGUGAAUCUGAAAAUUGUGAGGAAGAAAUUCAUGAAGUGAUUCACGAGGGCUCCUUGGAUGAAAAGCAUGAUUGCAAUGGUUUCACUAUAAAUUCUAUUAGUGACAAUCAUGCUAAAAAUAUGCAAAACCCUAAGCUUGGGGAUGCUAGUUUUGCUAUGNNNNNNNNNNNNNNNNNNNNNNNNNNNNNNNNNNNNNNNNNNNNNNNNNNNNNNNNNNNNNNNNNNNNNNNNNNNNNNNNNNNNNNNNNNNNNNNNNNNNAGUUAUAGCUAGGCCGUCUGUCAAAUUUCAUCGCGAUUGGAGUUUGUUUGAUACCCGAACCGUAAACCUAUAGCGGCACUAUAGCCGAUCAAACGUGAGGCGUUUCGGUAUUUUAAACUUUGUCGUCGGGUUGCCUGUUUUCCCUCCCAUCUUUGCCUAGCCCCUCUACACAGUGCACCGGCCUGCGCGCAACCUAGCCCGAAAACCUCCCGGAACCCGAACCCGGUGGUCGUAACCGUUGGGUCCGGAUCAACCCCGUUAUACCGCAAAUCGUCAUCGGUUUGUCCNNNNNNNNNNNNNNNNNNNNNNNNNNNNNNNNNNNNNNNNNNNNNNNNNNNNNNNNNNNNNNNNNNNNNNNNNNNNNNNNNNNNNNNNNNNNNNNNNNNNNNNNNNNNNNNNNNNNNNNNNNNNNNNNNNNNNNNNNNNNNNNNNNNNNNNNNNNNNNNNNNNNNNNNNNNNNNNNNNNNNNNNNNNNNNNNNNNNNNNNNNNNNCCUAAUCUAACUAACCCUCUAUAUUUAUAGACCACCCCUACCUAAUUAGGAACAAACCCUAACUCCUAGGGGUCUUGUCCCGCAGCAGCAGCCGCCCACCUCGUUUUACCCGUCAGGCCAACCUCCACUCGAUCCCAUCCUCAUUUUCCACUCCUAGGUCCGAGUUCCCCAUCGCCCGUAGUAGAUCAAGGGAAGCCUCAAUCCCGUCGCCCCCCCNNNNNNNNNNNNNNNNNNNNNNNNNNNNNNNNNNNNNNNNNNNNNNNNNNNNNNNNNNNNNNNNNNNNNNNNNNNNNNNNNNNNNNNNNNNNNNNNNNNNNNNNNNNNNNNNNNNNNNNNCCCCCCCCCCCCCGUGCAUCCUGCAGGAGCAGCAGUGCCCGCGUUGGCAUGCUCCCUGGCCCGAGGCCUUGACGCCGCAUCAGCAACCUUGGCGACCACAGCAGCGGACCCUCGCUUGCCUUCGACAGUAGCACCAGCAGGUUCCCUGCUCCCUUGCCAAGCACCUCCUCUUUCUCUUCCCUAUGCUCUCCUUCCCCUCUAGUUUUUAUCCCUGUCUUGUUCCAUUUCUUCUGUGCUAGAGGAGAACACAGCCGCAGCCGAGGUAGCCUGUGAGCGCGCGUUGGAGCCUCGGACAGCCCGCUCGGCGCGCCAUGCUCUCCCGUGCCAUCCGUCGUCGUCAGGUCGCCGGGAGCCCUGCUUGUGAGUGCCGCCGAUGGUCCAGGGUCGCCGCUGACCUGGAUCCGCCCUGAUCCGCCCCCCCCCNNNNNNNNNNNNNNNNNNNNNNNNNNNNNNNNNNNNNNNNNNNNNNNNNNNNNNNNNNNNNNNNNNNNNNNNNNNNNNNNNNNNNNNNNNNNNNNNNNNNACAAUAUCAAAAUCAAACUCACCAUGGCAUCGACGCACACGUAGUACCUCCUGCCUGGGUUCGGAAUGCUCGAGGAGAUCCAUCUUGGUGCCUUCUGACGAGGAUUGCACCAGCAAAGCUUCGCCGGCUCGUAAGCCAUCAAGCUCUCCCUGUAGGGCACCGGCGACCUCGACUCCUCGCCUCUCCUUCCUGCGGCUCGAAGGAAGCCAGGAGCAGCAACAACAGAAUAACCCGAUGACCACGACAUUCCCCUGAAUAGAUCAGCUGCCGUCCUGCGCAAUGUGCUCCGCCGCCGCGCCGCUCAAGAUCCGCCGCCGUCGCCCCUAACCCUACUCCUCCCACUUCAAAAUCCCCAUAUACUUUGAUGUGGCCUCAUCUCUCACCACGCGUUGUGGUUAUAACGCAACCUGGCCCAUCAGACAUAAAAAAAUCCUGGCCACGUCAAUGUGUUUACCUCUAAAACGCUAUCAAGAUUUGAUUUAGACUGGGAUUUAAAAGUUUAGGAUAUAAACAACAGAAAUUUCCAAUUUAAGGUUCGAUUCAUUGAAGAACUAUCAGUUCAAGAUUUAAAAUGAACAUUUUCCGAUCUGCCUUCACCCAGAAGCGAUCCACGGCAAUGGGCUUACUGGACCAGUGGAGAAGAGCACUCCGGUCACCGAGCGGCGACACGACACGAUUUGGCCACACCGCCCACCGCUCUUCCCACUUCGCCAUCUGGAGACUUCCAGAAGGCAGCAGAACCCCCAAAUCCUCCUCGCUUCUACGCUGCACGAUCAAACCAACUCCCGAAAAUCCCACGCAAAAGAAGCGAAAAAUUAAAACGACAUGAACUCCCUCAAGAACUCGCGCUCCGCCCUCUCCCGUCCCCUCCGCCACAAACCNNNNNNNNNNNNNNNNNNNNNNNNNNNNNNNNNNNNNNNNNNNNNNNNNNNNNNNNNNNNNNNNNNNNNNNNNNNNNNNNNNNNNNNNNNNNNNNNNNNNNNNNNNNNNNNNNNNNNNNNNNNNNNNNNNNNNNNNNNNNNNNNNNNNNNNNNNNGGGGGCCCCGCCCCCGCCACCGCCGGUGGCGCGGGGAACGGCCGCUCGGCACUACCACGCCGCCCCGCGCCGCCCAGGGUUCAUUCAGUCCUUCAGCCGGGGGCCCCUCCGCCACGAGCCCGCCGCCCUCUUCCGGCCCCCGCCGGCGCAGCCGCAGGUGCCGCCUCCCCGGCACUACUUCACCUCCUCGCGCCGCCCGGAGGUCAUCCACUUCGCGCGCCGCCGCGGCGGGGCGCGGUGGUACCACGACAGGCGGAAGGUCGCCGCGGUGGUCCUCCUCGCCGGCGGCGCGACCGUCGUCGUCUACUUCGGCAACCUCGAGACCGUGCCCUACACCAACCGCACCCACUUCGUCCUUGUCUCGCCCCAGCUCGAGCGCCAGCUCGGCGAGUCCCAGUUCGCCGAUCUCAAGAAGGAGCUCGCCCCCAAGAUCCUGCCCCCGCUCCACCCCGACAGCGUCCGCGUCCGCCUCAUCGCCUCCGACAUCGUCCGCGCCCUCCACCGCGGCCUCGCCGACCGCCGCAGCGACGACUCCGAUGACGCCUCCUACGGCGACAUCUCCUCCGACAUCGCCGUCAAGGCCCGCGACAUGGAUGCCGAGGACGUGAUGCACCGGGUCUCGCCUGGCAAGACCACGCGCACAGCGGCUGCGGCUCAGGGAGACGACGAGCUUCUCGAUGACAGGUGGGUCGCCGAGAGCCGGAGACGGGGGAAGGCACGCGGAGCGCAACCACAGACGAAGCACCUCAAUGAGCUCAAUUGGGAGGUCAUCGUCGUCAGAGAUAAGCUCAUCAAUGCAAUGUGCUUGCCCGGUGGUAAGAUUGUAGUCUUCACUGGAUUGCUCGACCAUUUCAAGACAGAUGCUGAGAUUGCGACAGUGCUUUCGCAUGAGGUGGGUUUACUAAUUUGGUUAUGGGCUCGUAUCUACUUUUGGUUGGUUGUACAGUGCAUUGGAACUGAUAUUGGUACCUCUAUGUUUUAGAUUGGGCACGCUAUCGCGAGGCACUUGCCAGAGAUGAUCACCAAGGGCAUGUGGUUCACUAUCCUGCAGCUUGUCGUCCUACAGUUUAUUUACAUGCCAGACCUAAUUAAUGCAAUGUCGACAUUACUCCUCAGAUUGCCCUUCUCACGAAGGUAUUCAUUUCUGCAUUUCAUAUUGUUCGUAGAAUCAUGGUUAUUUACAUUCUACACGUGAUAAGUUGCAUAUAUGACUGAAAUGAGAUGCUACCAGAUCUGGCAAAAGCCAAUAAAUUGGCACCAAUGGGCUUGAUUUGUCUAGUUAUCUCGUUUUGGUAUAAGUUAUGAUAUGACUCCUGCUUCAAGUGCCUCCAUGGGGGCCAUUCUAUACUAUUCUGAGCCAACCUGUUAUUUCAGCUUAAUGUACCACAGACCAGUGAGAACCUAUCUAGGUAAAGUGAUAAACCAUGCAUAGGAAAAAGCUCAUAUCAACAUACAAACAUGCAUGAUAAUUUUUUUACAUUGUUCUAUCUAUACUUGAUAAACUAUACUUAAUAAACAUUGUGCAACCACACAAUGAUCAAACACAAUAAAUCAUAUGUAUUUUCAUUUUAUUUCUCAUAUUAUUACUCCAAUAAAUCAUAUGUAUUUUCAGUUUAUUUCUCAUAUUAUUACUCCCAAUAUUCAUGUUCCAUGCAACCAAAUCACACUGAAUUAUAUUGCAAAACCCGCAAUGUUGUGCGGGGUAUCAUCUAGUACCAUUUAAUUUUGCUACAGACUUAACUAAUAGCGGUGACAAUUCUAGUUAUAAAACACAUGACUCUUGAUUGCCCUACAGAUGAGAUUAUUAUUGAUAAUUCUUAUCCCCAUCAGGGCAUUGGACCUCGGAGAGACAUCUAGUUAUCUGUUCUCUUACUUUUUGAUGGACUUAUUAGCUAUUCACGCAGGUUCUUAGAAAGUAGACGAAAUCAGAUUUGCAAUAGCAUAUGUCAUGUACUCUUUCGUACUAAAUUCUGGAUCUGCAUGGAAUUGAUCCCCCAAACACCAAAUUGACUGGAAUGAUAGUAUGAUAUCCCCCUUGUACAUCUCUUACAAAUCCUACCAAAGUUGACUAGGAUGAUGCCCCUUCUUGUACAACUACUAGAAUUCCAUCACCAAUGCAUUGUGCGUGACUAUUCUAUUGUCCACCAAUUUUUCAUGUGUAAGAAUCGUUUUACAACAUAUGUGUGAAUUGUGAGGAUGGUGUUGGAUCCCUGUGGAUCGUAACUAAGAUUUAGGGUUUAUAGAUCACAGAUUUGGAGAGGAAUUUUGGGGAUCUGGCCGAUCUAAGAGGCCCAGUAUAUUAUCUAUAUAAUUGUUCUAGCCAUUUCGGCAGAAUAGAGAAGAAAAUAAACGUAAUCCUCACCCAGCCACAGCCCGGCUGUAUUUAUAGGCAGAGGUUUAACCCAAUGGUGAUUACUCGUUACAGUAACUACGACAAUUGGAAAAUAAACAGUAUUCGUGCCAUCUGGACCGUCGAGCGACUACACCGAAGAACGAGCGAUGAUGGCCGUCUGAUAAGCCAUGAAUCGUUAUCUGAAGAGAAUUGAUGCUUGCUGAAGAAAUAGACUCGUCAGGUACCUGACAGUGGGGUGGUAUAUAUUGGAGAUAUACAAGGUUUAGUAUCUAAGGUGGUAAGUUUGUACUUCUGAUUUGCAGUAAAAUCAGUCCCCUUCACAAGUGCUUGUUUUUCGAGUAUGAAGCAGUGGUCACUGGUCAGUUAGGAUCUUCAGUGAUGGGGAAACUUGAACUUCCGAGUCCUGACUAAAUUGGGAAAUUUAACACAUAAGUAAGAAAAAAAAUAUUUUUUCCCCAAACUAUUCAAGGGGAAAGUAGUUAUGUCUGUUUGGAUACCUUUAAGAAAGACUUGGUUCGAAAAUAAAAUACUCUGUACGGCAAUUUCCAGAAAAAAAUAUCUUUUCAGAUACACGCUCAACUUUAUAAUGGACUAACUAGUGUUGCUUAGCUGUUGAGCCGUUUCGGUACAAGCUUUCUGUGAUCAAAGCUUCCCUUUGAUCUUUGAAUGGAUUGAUGUAUGACCUGGCCAAAAUUUCCUUGCGCCUUCUGCCAAGCAAAGCCACCAAGUGCAGACAUUCAGUGCUUCUGCCUAGUGCAUCUGAAAUGAUGCAUCAAAGGAGCUAGGAUGUUUAGCUAUCCAAAGCUGUAUCCAUCAGUUUCCUUGAAAUGAGAGGACAAGUGACUGAAACGUGGACUAGCUACUGAUCCAUCUUGGCAAUCUGAUCUGCCACACUUAAUCUUGGUCUUUACUCUUCACUCCUUGUUUUUCGAGAAAACGCAAAAGAAUUUACGUUUCAUUUCAUUGAACAAGAAGACAUCGGGGGUACAACCUCCAGAAAGUAGGGACACACACACACACGACCGUCCUCACCAAGUGACUACAAAUAGGUAAGGAGGUGCCCUCAACUACAGACACGCAACGACAUCAAGCCUCGCCCAGCCUUGCCUCAAGCCACGGUGUCGAAACUCGGAGCAACAGGGCAGUGUCACCGCCAUUUCCAGACAGCUCCAGGGACGAUUGCAGCUCCAGGACUGCCCAGGCCGACGUACCUCGCACCCAUGUGCCUAGAGAGUCGGCGGGUGAAAGGCAGGGCCUGAUUGGAACUGGUGUAGCAUUCGUUGGGGGAGUGCCAGCGCUGGCAUACGUUGCCACUUGCUCCCUGUGUAGCGGUCUACGCCAGAGCGAUGCAUCACCAGCCACCAUCUGCCGCAUCAAGUAGUCCACUUGCAGCCAAAGCUGGUGCAUGAUUGAAUAGCUGAAUGUAUCUCUAUGUCUUUCCAAAAAGGAUCCACUGAUGCCGCUUUCUGUGGACAUGAAAUUUUCUAAAACCCCACCCCAGUUUCACUUCUUGAUGUUAAGCCUUCAUUGCCUCAACGAUACAAUAAGAUUUCAUAUGAUUAGGCGGUGAGUUUUAUAGCACCUUCCCCACAUGAAUCCUGCCCUGCUGUACUCUAUCCAGUUGUUUUAACGAUGGAUGGUUCUUCAUGAUCUGAAUAUUAAAAGAUUUGUGAGGGUACUUUCAUCUAAAUCCUUUUUGGUUUUCCAUAAGUUGUUUUAAGUCUAGUGAGAUUUAUUUGUAGGGCCGGCCCUGGCUUUUUGUCCAUCAUAAGGAAUCAACUACUGUUUUUCAGAUGGAGCCAACUGGUCAGAUAAAAUGUGGUUGCUCUAAUAUGACAUAAGAUUCAAUAUACUCCCUCCGUUCCUAAAUAUAAGUCUUUUAAGAUAUUUCAUUAUGAGUCUACAUACGGAACAAAAUGAAUGAAUCUACACUCUAAAGUAUGUCUAUAUACAUCCGUAUGUAGUUCACUAAUGAAAACUCUUUAAAGACUUAUAUUUAGGAACGGAGGGAGUAUGUCAUUAGAGUCCUUACAGAAUUAGUUUGUGUGCGACCUCAAAAAAAAAGACCUAUGUUUCAUACAGUUGUUAUUCUUGACUUCUUGUUAUCACAUUAUCAAACAUAUGCAGGUAUUUCUUGUUAGAAUCCCCUUGUGAUGAUGUAUGUAACAUGUUUGCAGGAUGGAGGUAGAGGCAGACCACAUAGGGCUCAUGCUUCAAGCUUCUGCUGGUUUCGACCCACGCAUAGCUCCCAAGGUCUACGAGAAGCUAGGACAAAUCGCGGGCAAUCAAUCAGUACUGAAAAGCUACCUCUCUACUCAUCCUUCGAGUAAGAAGCGGGCCGAGCUUUUAUCUCAAGCCAAGGUGAUGGAGGAGGCGAUGCAGCUAUACAGGGAAGCUUGCGCUGGCUACGGGACCGAAGGUUUCCUCUAGGUUGCGGCUUCGAACUCUCCGGCCUGCUGGGUAAGUCGUUUGGUGGCGGUGCCUGGCACAGAAACAUGCCCUUUGUUACCUGUACGGUGACGGCCAGUAAGAAGAGCUCAUUCUGUGUCUGUGCAUUUGCUAUUGUCUGUUCCUGUUGGGCUGAAUCGGCCACAUUUUCGUAGCAGAAUGUGAUCGAGCUGCUUCACUUGUGAUUAGGAGAGAGAAAAAAAGGAAUAGGUGAAGAGUUUCUGUUAAUAAUUGUCUUCCAAGAGCAGCUUUUAUAAUCCCAUAUUCCUUGGGUUUAUCGGUGUCGAUGAUUGUCACGUUGGUUACCUGUUGUCAUCUGCACCAGCUAGUAGUAGUCAGUUGGUCACGGCUGCGGAUUCACUGAGCUCGGGUGAACCGGAAAAGUUGAAGAAGAAAAACUGAAAAACUAAAAAAGAAAAUUGUCGCAAAAUUUGACAAAUGUUUCCAAUUCUUGCAAACUUUAAUCAUAGAAUGACAUUUGUAAGUAUGGAAUACAUUUGUCCAAGUUUGCCAGCAAAAGAAUCAGUUUUUUUUAAAUGGAUUUUACUGUCCACUCGAGAGAAGGACGCUUUGGGUUGGUCGCGUAAUAUUCAGAUAAUAUCGUUGUUUGAAGUAGUCAGGCACGAGACGAGGUAUAUAAAAUAUAGCUGAGCUCUCUUCAAACCCUCGAAGCAUUCUGGCUUGCUAGUUGCCACAACCCUGACGUGCUUAUUUGCUUCGUAGCUAGUCAAUAGAUACGCCCAUCCCGUGACACGGUGCGGAACCACUCUGUCUACCUGCCCCAGGUCCCAAAUUGCACGGGCAUCCCUCCGAAAUCGUACACCAGCUGCUCAUGGAACAUUCAUAUUAGUCUUAGCUUGAAGUUAGUCAGUCAACCACAAGGUUAGGUAGGCACAAAACUGAAUAAUCUGCGGACCUCGAUUAUCCUAUCCUGGCUUGCCUGCAACCUUUGACGUGAUUCUGCGCUUGGUGUUUAGUCAACAGACGCGCCCAUCCCGUGACACGAUCCAGGACACUCUGAGCCUGCUACUCGUACCCGCUCAAGAUUCCAAAUUUGCACGGGGACCCGUCGUGACACGGCGGGUGAUCCUUCGCCAUCCAUCAUCGCCCGAACCCAACGACCACCACGUUCGUUCUCUGGCAUGCCAUCAGCGUCGACCGGAAUGCAUCUUCGGGUUCCGCGACGUGCACUGCGGGUCCUGCCCGUCGCUCACGAGCGUCAGGUCGCUUGAAGAGCCGGCUGUCUAUCUGGGUGAUUAGAUUAGCAUUACCUCUGCUCCCAUCUCCGGCCCUGCCCAUCGAUCUCCUCCGUCUCUUCCCUUGGCGUCUCCCCUAUCAUACCUGCAAAUUGCUGCCAUAUACAGUACGUACUACUACAAUAUACACUCCCACUCUCCUCGUCCUCAUAAUCGCAAUAGUUUAUCAUACGACAAUUAUUAAACUGCAGCUAAGCAGAGCAGAGAGAGCGGUGCGGCCAUGCUAGCUUUUGGAGCCGCGAAGUGUCGCUCGCUCCGUGGUUUGGUUCGGUUCGUUUGCUGCUCCCAUGGCCAUGGGAGGGCGGUCACGAUUCGUGCGGCGCAAUGCAGGGGAGCAGUGCGGGGUUGGACUUUGGACCAACAAGGGACCUUUUCCGGCAGCUAAAGGAUGGCGGCCCUCGGCUCGCCGGUUGGGUCGCAUCCAUCCAUCCGCUGCCUACUUUUGACCGGGCGACCGAGUCGCGUUGGAGCUGGACACGCGACGCCGCCGGGCAUCGUCGACGGACCGAUGCUCGCCGGCAAAGUGGGCAGGCAGCGGGCUGACCAGGCAAAGAAAGAAAGAACGGAAGGAAGAAAUGUGCUCUUGGCCAUUUGAAGAUCAUUGUGAUCAAAACUCAAAAGCGACGCUGGUAGUGGUACAACAACAAAGUAGGGAUAGUUGGUGAGGGCGCUGUACUUGGACGGAAACGGAAGAGGGGCAUGAGCAUGAUCGAUGUUGGAGAAAGAACGGUCGUGGGCACGUUGUCGUGGCGGCCUGCAUACCACUGUGGUGCUGUGCCAUAAGACGAUUGGGGCUAGCGACCUACUUGUGGGUCGUGACAAGCAUGGACGAACGGUCAGGAAUGAGGGGCGGGGCUCACAAGUCUACUACGCUUGUAGGCGCGGCACCAUUUUUUAUGGGGGGGCCAAAAGCGCGUGCACUGUGCAGGAUCCGGAACGUGCAAAGCUCAUCGCAAUCUCCGGUUGAUUGAUUGCUUGAUUCGCUGUGCUACGGGACGAGCAAUGUUUUCCGGGACGCCACCCAACCAGCCACCCCCACCUCUUAUCAGUUGCUGAACGCUCUCUUUCCCUAUCACCCCGCCUCCUUGAAAACCAAACCUAUUGCCAUCCAACCGUCAUUUUCUUAUCCUUUGAGGGCAUCUCCAACAGNNNNNNNNNNNNNNNNNNNNNNNNNNNNNNNNNNNNNNNNNNNNNNNNNNNNNNNNNNNNNNNNNNNNNNNNNNNNNNNNNNNNNNNNNNNNNNNNNNNNNNNNNNNNNNNNNNNNNNNNNNNNNNNNNNNNNNNNNNNNNNNNNNNNNNNNNNNNNNNNNNNNNNNNNNNNNNNNNNNNNNNNNNNNNNNNNNNNNNNNNNNNNNNNNNNNNNNNNNNNNNNNNNNNNNNNNNNNNNNNNNNNNNNNNNNNNNNNNNNNNNCUCCAACAGUUUGUUGGUUAGGUUGUUGGUAAAAUAUGCCAUGUCAUAAACCAACACCUUAACAUACAACUACUCCAAUGGGUUGUAUCUAGUUUGCCCAAUAAGAUGUGAUGUAAUAAAUAAGGUGCUCUCUCAUUCUACAUUGGAGCUUGUGCAAGGGUGUUGGUUAAUUUACAUACAACCUUGCUCUCUUUCCUCAUUUAUUGCAUGACACAUCAUCAAAAAUCCUAUGUGUCAAAAUUACCAACAACUAUCUUACAACCAUUGGAGAUGCCCUAACAUACAACUACUCCAAUGGGUUGUAUCUAGUUUGUUCAAUAAGAUGUGAGGUAAUAAAUAAGAUGCUCUCUCAUUCUACNNNNNNNNNNNNNNNNNNNNNNNNNNNNNNNNNNNNNNNNNNNNNNNNNNNNNNNNNNNNNNNNNNNNNNNNNNNNNNNNNNNNNNNNNNNNNNNNNNNNNNNNNNNNNNNNNNNNNNNNNNNNNNNNNNNNNNNNNNNNNNNNNNNNNNNNNNNNNNNNNNNNNNNNNNNNNNNUUUACAUACAACCUUGUUCUCUUUCCUCAUUUAUUGCAAUAACACAUCAUCAAAAAUCCUAUGUGUCAAAAUUACCAACAACUACCUUACAACCAUUGGAGAUGCCCUGAAAGAAAAGCGUGCUUAAGCAAUCGUGUGAUCCCAUAUGAAAGGUAAAAUCCGAAAAAUAGAAGAAAGAAAAUCUGAUCUAUUUUUUGCCAAGAAUCAUCGAUGUAGAAAAAUUACAUUUGCAAAGGUGCGAAAAAAAUUGAUGUUCCAAAGUUUCUUCAUCAGAGAUCACUGGAGCUGGGGAUCACAUACUCCAAGUCCGAAACUUAUGUUAGGACUUAUCUAUUUUAUACUUGCAAGUCUGUGGACAUUAAGGAAAAGCGACCCCAUGGCAUAAUGUUGCUCUCCACUCUUUGGCGCACUAAUGGCCUACCGUCACCUAAAGCUUCAUCCACGACCAUUGGAAGCGCAGCAACCGCUUUACACAAAGUGGCAACAAUAAAGCAUACCUAAAGACGAGAAGUUAGUGAGCACUAAUAACAUCCGUCCAUCCGUAGCAUGAGACAAGCGGCGUGGUACCACGGCUGCGGUACGGACCAUUUUAUUACCAUAUCAAUCGAUGAUUACACGAGACCAUAGCAUCCAGACGGCAAGGGAAAACAAUCAACCAAAUACUGUAGUAAUCUUGUGCUUUGACACGCCCCUUGCCACCCAUCACCCACCACCCACCCAAAGACGAGAACGAGAAGAGAGACCAGACACCCUGAUGAGAUGACCAUGAUGAUGUGACCUACCUAAGCGGACUAGGAGUAGUAUGCAACCAAACGUAAAAGGAAAAUGCUGGAAGAAUUUUCGCCCAAGGCACGAAUCCUCCAAUGGCCACCACCGGACCCCAUCACCGACGGUCCAUCACACGGCGAUCGGAGCUUCAGGGCUUCCACAGGAUGGUGGUCUCGGCGAUCAUGGAGGUGACCACGUAGGGGUCCAUGUUGGACGCCGGCCGGCGGUCCUCGAAGUAGCCCUUGCCGUUCUGCUCCGUCUCCCGGCCCACGCGCACCGACGCGCCACGGUUUGCCACACCCUGCAGAGCAAGCAACACGUUUUUCAUUUUAGAACCACUGUUGGAGUAACGAGAUUCAGGUGAUUCAGGAGCAAGAAGGCGAAGGUGGGGGCGUACCCAGCUGAAGGUGUUGAUGUCGGCCGUCUCGUGCUUGCCGGUCAGACGGCGCUCGUUGCCCUCGCCGUAGGCCGCGAUGUGCUCCUUGUGCUUCAGCUUGAGCUUCUCGACCGCGUCCACGAUGACCUUGAAC